CAGCAGCCGCGGGAAUACGAAGGGUGCAAGCGUUAAUCGGAAUUACUGGGCGUAAAGCGUGCGUAGGCGGUGAGUUAAGUCUGCUGUGAAAUCCCCGGGCUCAACCUGGGAAUGGCAGUGGAUACUGGCUCGCUAGAGUGUGUCAGAGGAUGGUGGAAUUCCCGGUGUAGCGGUGAAAUGCGUAGAGAUCGGGAGGAACAUCAGUGGCGAAGGCGGCCAUCUGGAACAACACUGACGCUGAGGCACAAAAGCGUGGGGAGCAAACAGGAUUAGAUACCCCUGUAGUCCCUGUCUCUUAUAC
RNAcentral lists this ribosomal RNA (301 nucleotides) under uncultured bacterium. RNAcentral describes it as "partial 16S ribosomal RNA". It matches the Rfam family "Bacterial small subunit ribosomal RNA", at positions 509 to 807 of the family's 1533-position model. The record is from RNAcentral.